Molecule: ribosomal RNA, 403 nt
Filed under: uncultured bacterium
Lineage: Bacteria
Description: bacterial SSU rRNA
Rfam family: Bacterial small subunit ribosomal RNA
Source: RNAcentral
UGGGGAAUAUUGCACAAUGGGGGAAACCCUGAUGCAGCAACGCCGCGUGAGUGAUGACGGUCUUCGGAUUGUAAAGCUCUGUCUUCAGGGACGAUAAUGACGGUACCUGAGGAGGAAGCCACGGCUAACUACGUGCCAGCAGCCGCGGUAAUACGUAGGUGGCAAGCGUUGUCCGGAUUUACUGGGCGUAAAGGGAGCGUAGGUGGAUAUUUAAGUGGGAUGUGAAAUACUCGGGCUUAACCUGGGUGCUGCAUUCCAAACUGGAUAUCUAGAGUGCAGGAGAGGAAAGUAGAAUUCCUAGUGUAGCGGUGAAAUGCGUAGAGAUUAGGAAGAAUACCAGUGGCGAAGGCGACUUUCUGGACUGUAACUGACACUGAGGCUCGAAAGCGUGGGGAGCAAACAG